GCUGCUGGUUUGUCUCCCCGUUGGCAUUCUGGGUUGGAGAGGAGGAGGAGGAGCUGCCGGGGCAACCGAGUUGGAGUUUGGUGAAGUCUAGCAAGCUCCAUCCUUCCGUUGCCACAGUGUCUUUCCCUGGGAGCUCACUCUCCUGGGGUGUCACCGUGCUGACAUUCUGGAUUGGAGGGGAGGAGGAGCUGCCGAGGCUACUGAGGAGGAAUGGGAUGAAGUGGAUCAGACGGGAUUGGGCUGAGCUUGGUCCUUCCAUUGCCAGUGUGUGUGAGGAGGAGAUGCUCUUUUAGGGUUUCAUGGUAACGAAAGCUUCGGCCCUUUAAAUAGAUGAUUUGGAGUAUGAGAGAGAGAGAGAGAGAGAGAGAGAGAGAGAGAGAGAGAGAGAGAACAAUUAGGUGCAGCUCUGAUUCGACCAGUCGCAAUCGCAAGAGAGGGAGAAAGAGAGGGAGACAGAGAGACAGAGACAGAUUGUGAGAGAACAAUUACGUGCAGCUCUGAUUCGACCAGUCGCAAUCGCAAGAGAGGGAGAAAGAGAGGAAGACAGAGAGAGGGCUUCUCCUUUGGGGUACUUUUUUUUUUUUUUUGGUCAGAAGUCUUUUGGGGUACUUGAAGAUCGAAUUAUUUGGGGUGGCACGGCGAGGUCGACACAUGGGGCAAUGACGAAUGAUAUGGGUGCUUCUUUCUGUACUGGCGAGUGAUUUUUGGAGUUCGUCUUUUUGGGUGAGCGGGGAGAGAACGCAGGUGGAAGCCGCUGCUCACGUGUCGCUCUCGCUUGUGUGUGUAUAUAAUAUAUAUAAUCCUUUUCUAUUAAUUAUUCUCAGAUAUAAUCAUCAGUACUCUCCUAAACAUUAUUUUC
RNAcentral lists this long non-coding RNA (859 nucleotides) under Eucalyptus grandis. RNAcentral describes it as "long non-coding RNA (EGRA_LNC002877)". The record is from RNAcentral. Lineage: Eukaryota; Viridiplantae; Streptophyta; Magnoliopsida; Myrtales; Myrtaceae.